Molecule: ribosomal RNA, 116 nt
Filed under: Candidatus Nanoarchaeia archaeon
Lineage: Archaea; Nanobdellati; Nanobdellota; Candidatus Nanoarchaeia
Also listed under: 1 other name
Source: RNAcentral
GCCCGCGGCCAUAGCAAUUGGGGAAACACCCGGUCCCGUCCCGAACCCGGAAGUUAAGCCCAAUUGCGUUGUGGGCGGUACUGCCGAACAGGCGGGAAACCCACAAGCUGCGGGCA